Molecule: ribosomal RNA, 253 nt
Filed under: uncultured bacterium
Lineage: Bacteria
Description: partial 16S ribosomal RNA
Rfam family: Bacterial small subunit ribosomal RNA
Source: RNAcentral
CGGGGUGAGUAACGCGUGGAUAACCUGCCUUACACUGGGGAGUAACACUUAGAAAUAAGGUGCUAAUACCGCAUAAGCGCACAGAGCCGCAUGGCUCAGUGUGAAAAACUCCGGUGGUGUAAGAUGGAUCCGCGUCUGAUUAGCUGGUUGGCGGGGUAGAAGCCCACCAAGGCGACGAUCAGUAGCCGGCCUGAGAGGGUGAACGGCCACAUUGGGACUGAGACACGGCCCAAACUCCUACGGAAGGCAGCAG